This 484-nucleotide ribosomal RNA is filed under the name uncultured bacterium. RNAcentral describes it as "partial 16S ribosomal RNA". It matches the Rfam family "Bacterial small subunit ribosomal RNA", at positions 30 to 507 of the family's 1533-position model. The record is from RNAcentral.
AUUGAACGCUGGCGGCGGGCCUAACACAUGCAAGUCGAGCGGAUGAAGGGAGCUUGCUCCUGGAUUCAGCGGCGGACGGGUAAGUAAUGCCUAGGAAUCUGCCUGGUAGUGGGGGAUAACGUCCGGAAACGGGCGCUAAUACCGCAUACGUCCUGAGGGAGAAAGUGGGGGAUCUUCGGACCUCACGCUAUCAGAUGAGCCUAGGUCGGAUUAGCUAGUUGGUGGGGUAAAGGCCUACCAAGGCGACGAUCCGUAACUGGUCUGAGAGGAUGAUCAGUCACACUGGAACUGAGACACGGUCCAGACUCCUACGGGAGGCAGCAGUGGGGAAUAUUGGACAAUGGGCGAAAGCCUGAUCCAGCCAUGCCGCGUGUGUGAAGAAGGUCUUCGGAUUGUAAAGCACUUUAAGUUGGGAGGAAGGGCAGUAAGUUAAUACCUUGCUGUUUUGACGUUACCAACAGAAUAAGCACCGGCUAACUUCGUG